This 72-nucleotide transfer RNA is filed under the name Jimgerdemannia flammicorona. RNAcentral's name for it is "Endogone flammicorona tRNA". It matches the Rfam family "tRNA". From Rfam's summary of the family: Transfer RNA (tRNA) molecules are approximately 80 nucleotides in length. Their secondary structure includes four short double-helical elements and three loops (D, anti-codon, and T loops). Lineage: Eukaryota; Fungi; Mucoromycota; Endogonomycetes; Endogonales; Endogonaceae. The record is from Rfam by way of RNAcentral.
GCCUUUAUGGCUUAGUGGCAGAGCGUCGCUCUCGUAAAGCGAAGAUCGGGUGUUCGAUCCACCCUAAAGGCA